GAUGAACGCUGGCGGCGUGCCUAAUACAUGCAAGUCGAGCGAACGGACGAGGAGCUUGCUUUUCUGAUGUUAGCGGCGGACGGGUGAGUAACACGUGGAUAACCUACCUAUAAGACUGGGAUAACUUCGGGAAACCGGAGCUAAUACCGGAUAAUAUUUUGAACCGCAUGGUUCAAUAGUGAAAGACGGUCUUGCUGUCACUUAUAGAUGGAUCCGCGCUGCAUUAGCUAGUUGGUAAGGUAACGGCUUACCAAGGCAACGAUGCAUAGCCGACCUGAGAGGGUGAUCGGCCACACUGGAACUGAGACACGGUCCAGACUCCUACGGGAGGCAGCAGUAGGGAAUCUUCCGCAAUGGGCGAAAGCCUGACGGAGCAACGCCGCGUGAGUGAUGAAGGUCUUCGGAUCGUAAAACUCUGUUAUUAGGGAAGAACAUAUGUGUAAGUAACUAUGCACAUCUUGACGGUACCUAAUCAGAAAGCCACGGCUAACUACGUG
Molecule: ribosomal RNA, 497 nt
Filed under: uncultured bacterium
Lineage: Bacteria
Description: partial 16S ribosomal RNA
Rfam family: Bacterial small subunit ribosomal RNA
Source: RNAcentral